UAGGAGGCAGCAGUGGGGAAUCUUGCACAAUGGGGGAAACCCUGAUGCAGCGACGCCGCGUGAGCGAUGAAGCCCUUCGGGGUGUAAAGCUCUUUCGGCAGGGAAGAUAAUGACGGUACCUGCAGAAGCAGCUGCGGCUAACUACGUGCCAGCAGCCGCGGUAAUACGUAGGCAGCAAGCGUUGUUCGGAGUUACUGGGCGUAAAGGGUGUGUAGGCGGUUCUUUAAGUUUGGUGUGAAAUCUCCCGGCUCAACCGGGAGGGUGCGCCGAAUACUGAGGGACUCGAGUGCGGGAGAGGAAAGUGGAAUUCCUGGUGUAGCGGUGAAAUGCGUAGAUAUCAGGAGGAACACCGGUGGUGUAGACGGCUUUCUGGACCGUAACUGACGCUGAGACACGAAAGCGUGGGUAGCAAACAGGAUUAGAUACCCCGGU
RNAcentral lists this ribosomal RNA (432 nucleotides) under uncultured bacterium. RNAcentral's name for it is "bacterial SSU rRNA". It matches the Rfam family "Bacterial small subunit ribosomal RNA", at positions 342 to 791 of the family's 1533-position model. The record is from RNAcentral.